AGGAUAAACGCUGGCGGCGUGCCUAACACAUGCAAGUCGAACGCUCUUUUGCUCGCAAGAGCCAGAGGGAGUGGCGGACGGGUGAGUAACACAUGGGUGACCUACCCCACAGUGAGGAAUACCGGCGAGAAAUCGCCGACAAGACCGCAUAGGCUCGGUCCGGUGAAGCGGACAGAGCAAAGUCUCGCAAGAGACGCUGAGGGAUGGGCCUGUGGCCGAUUAGCUGGUUGGUAAGGUAAAGGCUUACCAAGGCGACGAUCGGUAGCUGGUCUGAGAGGACGAACAGCCACACUGGGAUUGAGAACGGCCCAGACUCCUACGGGGGGCAGCAGUGAGGAAUUUUCCGCAAUGGACGCAAGUCUGACGGAGCAACGCCGCGUGCAGGAGGACGCUUUUCGGAGUGUAAACUGCUUUUCUGUGGGACGAGCGAGGACGGUACCACAGGAAGAAGCCCCGGCUAACUACGCGCCAGCAGCCGCGGU
Molecule: ribosomal RNA, 482 nt
Filed under: uncultured bacterium
Lineage: Bacteria
Description: SSU rRNA
Rfam family: Bacterial small subunit ribosomal RNA
Source: RNAcentral